UGGGGAAUAUUGCACAAUGGGCGCAAGCCUGAUGCAGCCAUGCCGCGUGUAUGAAGAAGGCCUUCGGGUUGUAAAGUACUUUCAGCGGGGAGGAAGGGAGUAAAGUUAAUACCUUUACUCAUUGACGUAACCCGCAGAAGAAGCACCGGCUAACUCCGUGCCAGCAGCCGCGGUAAUACGGAGGGUGCAAGCGUUAAUCGGAAUUACUGGGCGUAAAGCGCACGCAGGCGGUUUGUUAAGUCAGAUGUGAAAUCCCCGGGCUCAACCUGGGAACUGCAUCUGAUACUGGCAAGCUUGAGUCUCGUAGAGGGGGGUAGAAUUCCAGGUGUAGCGGUGAAAUGCGUAGAGAUCUGGAGGAAUACCGGUGGCGAAGGCGGCCCCCUGGACGAAGACUGACGCUCAGGUGCGAAAGCGUGGGGAGCAAACAGG
This 429-nucleotide ribosomal RNA is filed under the name Chloroflexota bacterium. RNAcentral's name for it is "Chloroflexi bacterium partial 16S ribosomal RNA". It matches the Rfam family "Bacterial small subunit ribosomal RNA", at positions 355 to 776 of the family's 1533-position model. The record is from RNAcentral. Lineage: Bacteria; Bacillati; Chloroflexota.